UACGUAGGGGGCAAGCGUUAUCCGGAUUUACUGGGUGUAAAGGGAGCGUAGACGGCAGCGCAAGUCUGGAGUGAAAUGCCGGGGCCCAACCCCGGAACUGCAUUGGAAACUGUAUUUCUAGAGUGUCGGAGAGGCAAGUGGAAUUCCUGGUGUAGCGGUGAAAUGCGUAGAUAUCAGGAGGAACACCAGUGGCGAAGGCGGCUUACUGGACUGUAACUGACGUUGAGGCUCGAAAGCGUGGGGAGCAAACAGG
This 253-nucleotide ribosomal RNA is filed under the name uncultured Eubacteriales bacterium. Its description in RNAcentral is "uncultured Clostridiales bacterium partial 16S ribosomal RNA". It matches the Rfam family "Bacterial small subunit ribosomal RNA", at positions 524 to 776 of the family's 1533-position model. Lineage: Bacteria; Bacillati; Bacillota; Clostridia; Eubacteriales. The record is from RNAcentral.